Molecule: long non-coding RNA, 372 nt
Organism: Notothenia coriiceps (black rockcod)
Lineage: Eukaryota; Metazoa; Chordata; Actinopteri; Perciformes; Nototheniidae
Exons: 3
Source: RefSeq, a predicted model, not a curated record
CGAUGCUGCCUACCUGCUCGAUGUAGCUGACCAGUGAGUUGCGGUUCUGCUCCCAGUAAGUCUUCAGGUUGUCCUCACUGGGGAACCCCAGUGAGGACAACCUGAAGACUUACUGGGAGCAGAACCGCAACUCACUGGUCAGCUACAUCGAGCAGGUUCACCGGGGUGUAAAGGGCUUUGUGCGUGACCUCCAGGGAAGCCCCAUUUUCAAUGCCAGCAUCUCUGUGGAGGGCAUCGACCACGACAUCACCACAGCCAAAGAUGGAGACUACUGGCGCCUCCUUGCUCCAGGAAACUACAAAGUGGCAGCCACUGCCCCAGGAUACCUGACGGUCAUCAAGAAGGUGGCUGUUGCCUUCAGCCCUGCAACCA